Molecule: ribosomal RNA, 408 nt
Filed under: uncultured bacterium
Lineage: Bacteria
Description: partial 16S ribosomal RNA
Rfam family: Bacterial small subunit ribosomal RNA
Source: RNAcentral
GACGAACGCUGGCGGCGUGCUUAACACAUGCAAGUCGACAUGAGUGGGGAAGAGGAAUGUAAUACGAGGGUAACCUGCCCUCCGUGUUGGGAUAAGCCAUGGAAACGGGGUCUAAAACAGAAUAGAGGGGGGUGGGCUCGCGGACUAUCAGGUUGUUGGUGGGGUGGUGGCCUAACAAGGUGGGGACGGGCUGCCGGGCUGAGAGGGUGACCGGCCACAAUGGGACUGGGGAACGGCCCAGACGUCUAAGGGAGGGAGCAGUUGGGGAAAUUGGACAAUGGGCGAAAGCCUGAUGCCGCGGCGCCGCGUUGGGGGUUGAGGCUUUCGGGUUUUAAACCUUUUUCGGUAUCGAACGGGUAGGUGGAGAAGAAGCGCCGGCUAACUACGUGCCAGCCGCCGCGGUAAUAC